This 251-nucleotide ribosomal RNA is filed under the name uncultured bacterium. RNAcentral describes it as "partial 16S ribosomal RNA". It matches the Rfam family "Bacterial small subunit ribosomal RNA", at positions 524 to 776 of the family's 1533-position model. The record is from RNAcentral.
UACGUAGGGUGCAAGCGUUGUCCGGAAUUAUUGGGCGUAAAGGGCUCGUAGGCGGUCCAUCACGUCGGGAGUGAAAAGCUGGGGCUUAACCCCAGUCCUGCUCCGAUACGGGUGGACUAGAGGUAGGCAGGGGAGAACGGAAUCCUGGUGUAGCGGUGAAAUGCGCAGAUAUCAGGAGGAACACCGGUGGCGAAGGCGGUUCUCUGGGCCUUACCUGACGCUGAGGAGCGAAAGCGUGGGGAGCGAACAGG